This is a regulatory RNA element of Lachnospiraceae bacterium 2_1_46FAA, 171 nucleotides long. It matches the Rfam family "Lysine riboswitch aptamer". Rfam says of the family: Riboswitches are metabolite binding domains within certain messenger RNAs that serve as precision sensors for their corresponding targets. Allosteric rearrangement of mRNA structure is mediated by ligand binding, and this results in modulation of gene expression. This family includes riboswitches that sense lysine in a number of genes involved in lysine metabolism, including lysC. Lineage: Bacteria; Bacillati; Bacillota; Clostridia; Lachnospirales; Lachnospiraceae. The record is from Rfam.
CUGAAAGAUAGAGGUGCGUUUUUAAAGAGUACCGUUUAGUUUAAGUGGGACAGACUUCUAAAUGGGAAAGGGAAAGAUGCCGAAGGAUAAAUUCUUUGUCCGAGGAUUUAUUCUGGGACGUUGUAUAAGAUACAACGUACUGUCACAGAAGUGUGGAGCGCUAUCAUAGAU